GGAUUAGGCAUGCAAGUCGAACGAGGAUAUAUCCUUCGGGAUAUAAGCCGAGUGGCACAAGGGUGAGCAAUGCAUAGAUUACCUACCUUUAGGAUAAGGACAACUUUGUGAAAACGGAGCUAAUACUUAAUAAUACAAAAGAAAAUAAUUUUCUUUUGUCAAAGGGAGGGUAGCAAUACCUUUCGCCUAGAGAGGGGUUUAUGUCCUAUUAGCUUGUUGGUGGGGUAACGGCCCACCAAGGCGAUGAUGGGUAGCCGGCCUGAGAGGGUGUCCGGCCUCACUGGGACUGAGACACGGCCCAGACUCCUACGGGAGGCUGCAGUCGAGAAUCUUUCGCAAUGCCCGAAAGG
Molecule: ribosomal RNA, 350 nt
Filed under: uncultured Planctomycetota bacterium
Lineage: Bacteria; Pseudomonadati; Planctomycetota
Description: bacterial SSU rRNA
Rfam family: Bacterial small subunit ribosomal RNA
Source: RNAcentral